GACGAACGCUGGCGGCGUGCUUAACACAUGCAAGUCGAACGGAAAGGCCCUUCGGGGUACUCGAGUGGCGAACGGGUGAGUAACACGUGGGUGAUCUGCCCUGCACUUUGGGAUAAGCCUGGGAAACUGGGUCUAAUACCGAAUAGGACCACGCGCUUCAUGGUGUGUGGUGGAAAGCUUUUGCGGUGUGGGAUGGGCCCGCGGCCUAUCAGCUUGUUGGUGGGGUAAUGGCCUACCAAGGCGACGAUGGGUAGCCGGCCUGAGAGGGUGACCGGCCACACUGGGACUGAGAUACGGCCCAGACUCCUACGGGAGGCAGCAGUGGGGAAUAUUGCACAAUGGGCGCAAGCCUGAUGCAGCGACGCCGCGUGAGGGAUGACGGCCUUCGGGUUGUAAACCUCUUUCAAUAGGGACGAAGCGCAAGUGACGGUACCUAUAGAAGAAGCACCGGCCAACUACGUG
This 462-nucleotide ribosomal RNA is filed under the name uncultured bacterium. RNAcentral describes it as "partial 16S ribosomal RNA". It matches the Rfam family "Bacterial small subunit ribosomal RNA", at positions 28 to 507 of the family's 1533-position model. The record is from RNAcentral.